This 377-nucleotide ribosomal RNA is filed under the name uncultured bacterium. RNAcentral describes it as "bacterial SSU rRNA". It matches the Rfam family "Bacterial small subunit ribosomal RNA", at positions 521 to 896 of the family's 1533-position model. The record is from RNAcentral.
UAAUACAGAGGGUGCGAGCGUUGUCCGGAAUCACUGGGCGUAAAGGGCGCGUAGGCGGCUGGGUAAGCGUGUGGUGAAAGUCCGGGGCUCAACCCCGGAUCGGCCAUGCGAACUGUCCAGCUGGAGCACGGUAGAGGCACAUGGAAUUCCGGGUGUAGCGGUGGAAUGCGUAGAGAUCCGGAAGAACACCGGUGGCGAAGGCGGUGUGCUGGGCCGUAGCUGACGCUGAGGCGCGACAGCGUGGGGAGCAAACAGGAUUAGAUACCCUGGUAGUCCACGCCGUAAACGAUGGGCACUAGGUCCUUGGGGGAGCGACCCCGUGAGGGCCGGCGCUAACGCAUUAAGUGCCCCGCCUGGGGAGUACGGCCGCAAGGCUG